RNAcentral lists this ribosomal RNA (262 nucleotides) under uncultured bacterium. Its description in RNAcentral is "partial 16S ribosomal RNA". It matches the Rfam family "Bacterial small subunit ribosomal RNA", at positions 793 to 1055 of the family's 1533-position model. The record is from RNAcentral.
GUCCACGCCCUAAACGAUGCGAACUGGAUGUUGGUCUCAACUCGGAGAUCAGUGUCGAAGCUAACGCGUUAAGUUCGCCGCCUGGGAGUACGGUCGCAAGACUGAAACUCAAAGGAAUUUACGGGGCCCGCACAAGCGGUGGAGUAUGUGGUUUAAUUCGAUGCAACGCGAAGAACCUUACCUGGCCUUGACAUGUCCGGAAUCCAGCAGAGAUGCAGGAGUGCCUUCGGGAAUCGGAACACAGGUGCUGCAUGGCUGUCGU